AUUGAACGCUGGCGGCAUGCUUUACACAUGCAAGUCGAACGGUAACAGGCCUUCGGGUGCUGACGAGUGGCGAACGGGUGAGUAAUGCAUCGGAACGUGCCCAGAGGUGGGGGAUAACGCAGCGAAAGCUGUGCUAAUACCGCAUGUGAUCUGAGGAUGAAAGCGGGGGACCAGGCAGCAAUGUUUGGCCUCGCGCCUUUGGAGCGGCCGAUGUCAGAUUAGGUAGUUGGUGGGGUAAAGGCCUACCAAGCCGACGAUCUGUAGCUGGUCUGAGAGGACGGCAGGCCACACUGGGACUGAGACACGGCCCAGGCUCCUACGGGAGGGAGCAGUGGGGAAUUUUGGACAAUGGGCGCAAGCCUGGUCCAGCAAUGCCGCGUGCGGGAAGAAGGCGUUCGGGUUGUAAACCGCUUUUGUACGGAACGAAAAGGCUCUGGCUAAUACCUGGGGCUGAUGACGGUACCGGAAGAAUAAGCACCGGCUAACUACGUG
RNAcentral lists this ribosomal RNA (492 nucleotides) under uncultured bacterium. Its description in RNAcentral is "partial 16S ribosomal RNA". It matches the Rfam family "Bacterial small subunit ribosomal RNA", at positions 29 to 507 of the family's 1533-position model. The record is from RNAcentral.